UUGGCUGCAAGAGUCUUAACAAGCUGGAUCUUAGCAAUAAUAGAUUAAAUGGCACUAUACCCAAUGAAAUUUGCAACAUGUCAAGAUUGCAAUACUUGCUUUUGAGUCAGAAUUCAAUAAAAGGUGAGAUACCCCAUGAGAUUGGAAACUGCCUGAAACUGCUGGAAUUACAAAUGGGCAGUAACUAUUUGACUGGAAGUAUCCCUCCAGAGAUUGGUCGCAUCCGGAACUUACAAAUAGCCUUAAAUUUGAGCUAUAAUCAUCUCCAUGGAUCACUGCCCCCUGAAUUAGGAAAACUUGACAAGUUGGUUUCUUUGGAUGUCUAGCUUUCUGGUACUAUUCCUCAAUCAUUCAAAGGCAUGUUGAGCUUGAUAGAGGUUAAUUUCUCAAAUAAUCUGCUUAGUGGCCCAAUACCCACC
This 419-nucleotide unclassified non-coding RNA is filed under the name Hevea brasiliensis (rubber tree). Lineage: Eukaryota; Viridiplantae; Streptophyta; Magnoliopsida; Malpighiales; Euphorbiaceae. The record is from RNAcentral.